This 1365-nucleotide ribosomal RNA is filed under the name uncultured bacterium. Its description in RNAcentral is "16S ribosomal RNA". It matches the Rfam family "Bacterial small subunit ribosomal RNA". The record is from RNAcentral.
CGAACGCUGGCGGCAUGCUUAACACAUGCAAGUCGAACGAAGUACCUGGCUUCGGCUGGGAUACUUAGUGGCACACGGGUGAAUACCGCCUGUGAAUCUACCUAAUACUGGGGAAUAACUAUGGGAAAACUAUAACUCAUACCGCAUACACCCUGAGGGGGAAAGGCUUCUGCCGCUAUUACAGGAGCCCGCGUCAGGUUAGGUAGUUGGUAGGGUAAAGGCCUACCAAGCCUAUGAUCUGUAACUGGUUUGAAAGGAUGAUCCUCCACACUGGAACUGAGACACGGUCCAGACUCCUACGGGAGGCAUCACUGGGGAAUAUUGGACAAUGGGGGAAACCCUGAUCCAACAAUGCCGCGUGAGUGAAGAAGGCCUUACGGUUGUAAAGCUCUUUCUGUAGGGACGAUGAUGACGGUACCUACAGAAUAAGCCCCGGCUAACUCCGUGCCAGCAGCCGCGGUAAGACGGAGGGGGCUAGCGUUGUUCGGAAUUACUGGGCGUAAAGGGCUCGUAGGCGGCCGAUCAAGUUACGCGUGAAAUCCCUGGGCUUAGCCCAGGAACUGCGUUUACUACUGAUUGGCUAGAGAUUGGUACAUGACAGUGGAAUUCCUAGUGUAGAGGUGAAAUUCGUAGAGAUUAGGAAGAACACCAGAUGCGAAGCCAACUUUCUGGGCCAAUACUGACCCUGAGGCGCUAAAGCUUGGGGAUCAAACUGGAUUAGAUACCCUGGUAGUCCACACGUGUGUUCGUAUGAGUGCUAGAAGUCGGCGGUUUAACCGUCGGUGUCGCAGCUCAUGCAUUAAGCACUCCGCCUGGGGAGUACGGUCGCAAGAGUAAAACUCAAAGGAGUUGUCGGGGGCUCGCACAAGCGGUGGAGCAUGUGGUUUAUUUUGAAGCAACGCGAAGAACAUUACCUGCCCUUGACAUGGGUAUCGCGGAGACAAGAGAUUGUUUCCUUCAGUUUGGGUGGAUCCACCACAGCUGCUGCAUGCCGUGUCGUCAGCUCGUGUCGUGAGAUGUUGGGUUAAGUCCUGCAACGAGCGCAACCCUCAUCUUCAGUUGCCAACAGGUUAUGUUGGGGACUCUGAAGAAACUGCCGGUGAUAAACCGGAGGAAGGUGGGGAUGACGUCAAGUCCUCAUGGCCCUUAUGGGCAGGGCUACACACGUGCUACAAUGGCAGCGACAGAGGGAAGCGAAGGGGCAACGUGGAGCCAACCCAUAAAAGCUGUCCCAGUUCGGAUUGUUCUCUGCAACUCGAGAGCAUGAAGUUGGAAUCGCUAGUAAUCGCAGAUCAGCAUGGUGCGGUGAAUACGUUUACGGGCCUUGUACACACCGCCCGUCACACCAUGGGAGUUGGUUUCACC